UGGAAAGCAUCUAGUACAAUUAUCAGUGAUGGUAGUAAUUAUUAUAAUACACCCCAGAGGGAGUGUUUGGCAACUUUUCACAAUGUAACAACACCAUCUCAACUUUGGAAUUCCUUAUCUGGUAUAUUCUACGGAAUCUUCAGAAGCUAUUGAUUUCCACAUCAUUGUCUCUACUUUAUUCCUAUACAUACAGAUAAAGAAAUUUCCUAUGCACAUACAAGCUUACUGUUGAAGUCCUCUCAUCCAAUGCACUCAGAACGGGACUGUAAGUCCAGCUGCUGUGUAUCAUCACCUCAGCCCGAUUGGUCCUCGGCCACACUUCACUUCAGCUUCUGAUAGGUCCUGGGCCAAGCUAAGCAGCAUCUAUGAAUCAUUUCACCUCCUGACUGGUCCCGGGCCAAGCCGAGUCACGCAUUCGCCAAGACAGCCCCCAGACUAAGCACAUUCCUUCCCCUUCCGUCCAUAAAAACCUGGACCCCAGCCUCAUGAUGGGCACUCCCGUUCGGGACCCCCUCUCUGCUGGCAGAGAGCUUUCUUCUUUCACCUUAUUAAACUUUCACUCUAACCUCACCUUUGUGUCCGUGCUCCAUAAUCGUCUUGGAGGUGGGACAAGAACUCCAGGUGUUAUCUCAGACAACGAAAGACUGUUUCAAUAAUGUAGUAUAUAAGUGGACAAGAACUCCAGGUGUUAUCUCAGACAACGAAAGACUGUUUCAAUAAUAUAGUAUAUAAG
Molecule: long non-coding RNA, 733 nt
Filed under: Homo sapiens (human)
Lineage: Eukaryota; Metazoa; Chordata; Mammalia; Primates; Hominidae
Description: HSALNT0153501
Source: RNAcentral